RNAcentral lists this long non-coding RNA (241 nucleotides) under Elaeis guineensis (African oil palm). Its description in RNAcentral is "long non-coding RNA (EGUI_LNC032431)". Lineage: Eukaryota; Viridiplantae; Streptophyta; Magnoliopsida; Arecales; Arecaceae. The record is from RNAcentral.
GAGCGCAUAUUUGGAGAACAGCAUGGAGAACAUAUUUCAAUCUUUGAUUGUAGUCGAGGUGCGCAUAUUUGGAGAACCUAAUGGAGAAUACGUUUCGAUCUUUGGUCGUAGUCGAGGAGUGCAUGUUUGGUGAACCGCAUGAAGAACACAUUCCGAUCCUCGACCAUAGUCGAGAAGUGUGUGUUUGGAGAACUGCAUGAAAAAUAUAUUUCGAUCCUCAACCAUAGCCGAGGAGUGCAUA